RNAcentral lists this long non-coding RNA (364 nucleotides) under Panax ginseng (ginseng). RNAcentral describes it as "long non-coding RNA (PGIN_LNC005619)". The record is from RNAcentral. Lineage: Eukaryota; Viridiplantae; Streptophyta; Magnoliopsida; Apiales; Araliaceae.
CAAACUUAAAUAUACAAUAUGAGCUAUGAGUUUUAAUACAAAUUUUGUCUUCUAGACAGUAUUAAAACUCAAAAUAAAUCCUCAAUACAUUUAUUAACACACUAUUUCAUAGAAUAGUGAGGACUACUAAUGCUAUUGUCUAGACCAUCACUAUGUUCCCCGGCUAGUCCCUGCUACGUUCUCAUUUUCUGAAGAGAACAAUGAAAGUAAAUGGGUGAGCUCAACUAGACCAGUAAGAAAUAUUAUGACUAAGAUAAUGCAGAAUAAAUUAUCAUUAGCCUUCAACAAUGUUAAACUGAUAAAAUACAAUAGACAUCAAGUUUAACUGCAGCGGAACAAGCAAUCCAUUAAAAGAGUCAAGUAG